This 253-nucleotide ribosomal RNA is filed under the name uncultured bacterium. RNAcentral describes it as "partial 16S ribosomal RNA". It matches the Rfam family "Bacterial small subunit ribosomal RNA", at positions 524 to 776 of the family's 1533-position model. The record is from RNAcentral.
UACGAAGGGGGCUAGCGUUGCUCGGAAUCACUGGGCGUAAAGCGCACGUAGGCGGAUCUUUAAGUCAGGGGUGAAAUCCUGGAGCUCAACUCCAGAACUGCCUUUGAUACUGGGGAUCUCGAGUCCGGAAGAGGUGAGUGGAACUCCGAGUGUAGAGGUGAAAUUCGUAGAUAUUCGGAAGAACACCAGUGGCGGAGGCGGCUCACUGGUCCGGUACUGACGCUGAGGUGCGAAAGCGUGGGGAGCAAACAGG